CCUACGGGAGGCAGCAGUGGGGAAUAUUGUGCAAUGGGCGCAAGCCUGACCCAGCAACGCCGCGUGAAGGAAGAAGGCUUUCGGGUUGUAAACUUCUUUUCUCAGGGACGAAGCAAGUGACGGUACCUGAGGACUAAGCCACGGCUAACUACGUGCCAGCAGCCGCGGUAAUACGUAGGUGGCAAGCGUUAUCCGGAUUUACUGGGUGUAAGGGGCGUGUAGGCGGGCGUGCAAGUCAGAUGUGAAAACCACGGGCUCAACCUGUGGCCUGCAUUUGAAACUGUAGUGCUUGAGUGCUGGAGAGGCAGACGGAAUUCGUGGUGUAGCGGUGAAAUGCGUAGAUAUCAGGAGGAACACCGGUGGCGAAGGCAGCCUGCUGGACAGCGACUGACGCUGAGGCGCGAAAGCGUGGGGAGCAAACAGGAUUAGAUACCCUAGUAGUC
RNAcentral lists this ribosomal RNA (443 nucleotides) under uncultured bacterium. RNAcentral's name for it is "partial 16S ribosomal RNA". It matches the Rfam family "Bacterial small subunit ribosomal RNA", at positions 338 to 795 of the family's 1533-position model. The record is from RNAcentral.